This 397-nucleotide ribosomal RNA is filed under the name uncultured bacterium. RNAcentral's name for it is "bacterial SSU rRNA". It matches the Rfam family "Bacterial small subunit ribosomal RNA", at positions 359 to 772 of the family's 1533-position model. The record is from RNAcentral.
GAAUUUUGCCCAAUGGACGAAAGUCUGAGGCAGCAACUCCGCGUGAGGGAUGAAGGCUCUCGGGUCGUAAACCUCUUUUCUCAGGGAAGAUACAAGACGGUACCUGAGGAAUAAGCCACGGCUAACUACGUGCCAGCAGCCGCGGUAAUACGUAGGUGGCAAGCGUUGUCCGGAAUUACUGGGCGUAAAGAGCGCGCAGGCGGCUGGUCAAGUCCGAUGUGAAAGCUCCCGGCUUAACUGGGAAAUUGCAUCGGAAACUGAUCGGCUUGAAGGUGGGAGAGGGUAGCGGAAUUCCCGGUGUAGUGGUGAAAUGCGUAGAUAUCGGGAGGAACACCAGUGGCGAAGGCGGCUACCUGGCCCAUUCUUGACGCUGAGGCGCGAAAGCUAGGGGAGCGAA